Long non-coding RNA from Uranotaenia lowii, 629 nucleotides. RefSeq lists it as uncharacterized. Lineage: Eukaryota; Metazoa; Arthropoda; Insecta; Diptera; Culicidae. The transcript has 3 exons. The record is from RefSeq and is a predicted model, not a curated record.
GAACACAUCAAAUUUGUAAAAAUGACCCAUUAUAACGAACCAUCGUGAUCUGUCAAAAAAUGUGUCAAUUUGUCGGUUCAAUAUUACACAUGUUUUAAAACAGCCCGAGUACGCUUCAGGAAGUGUAGUUUUAGAUGUUAUAAAAACUUCAACCGCAUGUUUUCAUUUGGUAAAUUGAUGGUGACUCGUGAUCCAUCUGGAGCCGCAAAGGAUGUGGAAAGUCGCUUGGCAGAUCGAAGACGGUAAUUCUAGUUGGCACUUCGCCAUCGGUCGUAUUGAAAACAUGUCGAUUCCUCAAGAAAAUGAACCAGGGUCACAAAUCCUAUAGGCAUAUUCUGAACUCAGAGGGAAGUAUGGAAAAAGCAGCCAAAUUUUUCCGACAAUCAUUUUUUCCAAAAAAAGAUAUUAAUGUUUUGUGAAAUAAACUAGCAAAUUUAUUAUUUGAUUGUUUUCAGUUAAUUUUUAUAAAGUAUUCCUUGCAUUUGCGAUCUUUCUCACUACAAAAAUCGGCUCACAUCCCCACCGAGCGCAAGCGUUUGAAAUAAUGUGUAAAUUUGACCCGACGACUUGACGUACAGCCUAAGUACCUUAUAAAGGGUAAAGGGGCUUUACAUGAAAAAGGAGUUAAC